AGCAGCCGCGGUAAUUCCAGCUCCAAUAGCGUAUAUUAAAGUUGUUGCAGUUAAAAAGCUCGUAGUUGAAUUUCGGAAUCAAUGGAUCGGUCAUGCCACUCGGUGUGUACUGGUUUGAUUGGUUCUCACCUUCUAAGGAACCGUGAUGUCAUUAAUUUGGUGUCGCGGGGAAUUAGGGCUGUUACCUUGAAAAAAUUAGAGUGUUUAAAGCAAGCUCACGCUUGAAUACAUUAGCAUGGAAUAAUGAAAUAGGACAUUGUAUUCUAUUUUGUUGGUUUCUAGGAUCGAUGUAAUGAUUAAUAGGGAUAGUUGGGGGCAUUAGUAUUCAAUUGUCAGAGGUGAAAUUCUUGGAUUUAUUGAAGACUAACUACUGCGAAAGCAUUUGCCAAGGAUGUUUUCAUUAAUCAAGAACGAAAGUUAGGGGAUCGAAGACGAUCAGAUACCGUCGUAGUCUUAACCAUAAACUAUGCCGACUAGGGAUCGGAUGAUGUUAAUUUUUAAUGACUCAUUC
This 511-nucleotide ribosomal RNA is filed under the name uncultured Glomus. RNAcentral's name for it is "SSU rRNA". It matches the Rfam family "Eukaryotic small subunit ribosomal RNA", at positions 569 to 1081 of the family's 1831-position model. Lineage: Eukaryota; Fungi; Glomeromycota; Glomeromycetes; Glomerales; Glomeraceae. The record is from RNAcentral.